Molecule: ribosomal RNA, 557 nt
Filed under: uncultured Methylobacterium sp.
Lineage: Bacteria; Pseudomonadati; Pseudomonadota; Alphaproteobacteria; Hyphomicrobiales; Methylobacteriaceae
Description: bacterial SSU rRNA
Rfam family: Bacterial small subunit ribosomal RNA
Source: RNAcentral
ACGGGUGAGUAACGCGUGGGAACGUGCCUUCCGGUUCGGAAUAACCCUGGGAAACUAGGGCUAAUACCGGAUACGUCCUUAUGGGGAGAGGUUUACUGCCGGAAGAUCGGCCCGCGUCUGAUUAGCUAGUUGGUGGGGUAACGGCCUACCAAGGCGACGAUCAGUAGCUGGUCUGAGAGGAUGAUCAGCCACACUGGGACUGAGACACGGCCCAGACUCCUACGGGAGGCAGCAGUGGGGAAUAUUGGACAAUGGGCGCAAGCCUGAUCCAGCCAUGCCGCGUGAGUGAUGAAGGCCUUAGGGUUGUAAAGCUCUUUUAUCCGGGACGAUAAUGACGGUACCGGAGGAAUAAGCCCCGGCUAACUUCGUGCCAGCAGCCGCGGUAAUACGAAGGGGGCUAGCGUUGCUCGGAAUCACUGGGCGUAAAGGGCGCGUAGGCGGCGUUUUAAGUCGGGGGUGAAAGCCUGUGGCUCAACCACAGAAUGGCCUUCGAUACUGGGACGCUUGAGUAUGGUAGAGGUUGGUGGAACUGCGAGUGUAGAGGUGAAAUUCGUAGA